CCCAGACUCCUACGGGAGGCAGCAGUGGGGAAUAUUGCACAAUGGGGGAAACCCUGAUGCAGCGACGCCGCGUGAGCGAUGAAGUAUUUCGGUAUGUAAAGCUCUAUCAGCAGGGAAGAAAAUGACGGUACCUGACUAAGAAGCCCCGGCUAACUACGUGCCAGCAGCCGCGGUAAUACGUAGGGGGCAAGCGUUAUCCGGAUUUACUGGGUGUAAAGGGAGCGUAGACGGCGAUGCAAGCCAGAUGUGAAAGCCCGGGGCUCAACCCCGGGACUGCUCUGGAAACUGUACGGCUGGAGUGCAGGAGAGGUAAGUGGAAUUCCUAGUGUAGCGGUGAAAUGCGUAGAUAUUAGGAGGAACACCAGUGGCGAAGGCGGCUUACUGGACUGUAACUGACGUUGAGGCUCGAAAGCGUGGGGAGCAAACAGGAUUAGAUACCCUAGUAUC
This 447-nucleotide ribosomal RNA is filed under the name uncultured bacterium. Its description in RNAcentral is "bacterial SSU rRNA". It matches the Rfam family "Bacterial small subunit ribosomal RNA", at positions 330 to 794 of the family's 1533-position model. The record is from RNAcentral.